This is a long non-coding RNA of Mesocricetus auratus (golden hamster), 1248 nucleotides long. RefSeq lists it as uncharacterized. The record is from RefSeq and is a predicted model, not a curated record. The transcript has 3 exons. NCBI's taxonomy places the organism in Eukaryota, Metazoa, Chordata, Mammalia, Rodentia, Cricetidae.
CUCUCUCUCUCUCUCUCUGCUUCUUUUUUCUUCUGCUACUCCUGUCCAAGAUGCCUGUCUCCCCUUCCCCUUUCCCCUUUUUAUGAUCCAUUUCCCUUAAUAAAAAAACAAAUACAAAAAAAAGCAACAGCAAUAACAACACCCUCCACUUGAACUCUGUCGCAUGGCAUUUUUCUCUCUCAGGCCGCUUUUUCUUUUCUUUUCUUUUCUUUUCUUUUUUUAAUUACAACAGAGAGCCUGACUACUCUUUCGGAGGACCCAGGUUUGUAUCCCAGCACCCACACGACGGCUCGCACCCAUCUGAAACCUAACCCAAGAGAAUCCAAUGCCUUCUCCUGGCUCUGUGGGCACUGAAUAUAUGUGGGGCACAGACGUGUACUCAAGCAAGCGUUCAUACAGGAAAAAGUUUGUCCAAAUAGUUGGGAGCCGUCUCCGAACUCAUGAGGCAGGACCAUCCAGGUGUUCUCUAAGACGCUGGAAGAGACUCAGAAUUUCCUGGGACCUUACCAAUCAUCCCGAGAAAGCCAGACCAGGCACAACUUCUUGAAGCAUCCCAGCUUCCCAUCCAGAGAAAGGAUGACUGCCCUUUACUGACAUGAAGAUGGGCUGUUCCCUCUACAUUCAGGGGAGGAAAAACCAACCUAAGCAGGACAAUUUUAUACAAUCAUCCUGAGUAUCCACUGAGGAUGGUCCAUACAGUGUUUAUAUGUCAUUGCUCAUUCCCUCACAUACUCAGGAGCAAGUCCCUUGCAAACCAAUGCUCACACCCUUUGUGUGCAACAUUCAGGAUCUUAUUUGCCAGCUCUGAUUCCUUCAGACCCUUAUGAACUAUGUCCAAGUCCUUAUGUACUAAUGUUCAAGUGCUUUGUCAACCAGUGCUCAAGUAUGUUCUGUACCAAAGUUGAAGUAAUUUAGUACCAAUGUCUAAACCCCUUAUGCACCAGUGUUCAAAUCAAUUAUGUAAUAAGUUUAAGUCCUUUGUGUAUCAGUGCUCAAGUCACUACCACAGGAAUGUCCAAGUCCUUCUUGUAAUGAUGCUCUAAUCAUUAUGUAAGAAUACUCACAUCUGGCCAGGCGGUGGUGGCACACGCCUUUAAUCCCAGCACUCGGGAGGCAGAGGCAGGCGGAUCUCUGUGAGUUCGAGGCCGGGCUGGACCGACAGCCUCCAAAACAAUACAGAAAAACCCUGUCUUGUAAAACAAAACAAAACAAAAAAGAAUACAUCUAUUAUGUACCAAUGCUCAAGUU